GCGGGAGUAGCUCAAUGGCAGAGUGCCAGCUUCCCAAGCUGGAUGUUGCGAGUUCGAGCCUCGUCUCCCGCU
RNAcentral lists this transfer RNA (72 nucleotides) under Armatimonadota bacterium. RNAcentral's name for it is "Armatimonadetes bacterium tRNA-Gly". It matches the Rfam family "tRNA". Rfam says of the family: Transfer RNA (tRNA) molecules are approximately 80 nucleotides in length. The record is from RNAcentral. Lineage: Bacteria; Bacillati; Armatimonadota.